UUACUAUAUUAUUUCCACAAAAUCAAAACAAAGAGUUAAGAAACAAAACAAAGAUUAAGUAAAAUUUCAUCAGUAAUUGUCGAAAGGCAUUACACACAACCAAAUAACAUCCUAGACAGGGGAUCACUAGGCUCAUGGGUCGAUGAAGACCGCAGCUAACUGCGUGUUGUCAUGUGAACUGCAGGACACAUGAACAUCGACAAGUUGAACGCAUAUCGCACUUCUUGCUUUUUAUUCUAUUUAGUUAGAAUGGCUUGAGGUUCAUAUGGUUGAGUGCUAUAAUUUAUCAAUAGAACUGUUCUUUCCUUAAAACCGAAAGACGUACGUGUCAACUAUUAGACUCGCAAGAGAUUAAUAUUUGAUUAAAUCACGAGAUAUGAAAAAUUAAAUAGCAUACAAUGACUUGCUUAUUGGUAGCCUAUUUAGCAUUUUAUAUAAUACUAUCAUUUCUUAAUUGAAAUUAAUAUGUAUAUUAUAAAGCAACAUGCUGAAUGAAGGUGACUUGAGUAUAGUAAUAUGAGCUAUUUAAAAAUACUAUAAAUUAUACAUAGCCUCAACUCAUGUGAGACUACCCCC
RNAcentral lists this ribosomal RNA (576 nucleotides) under Simulium triplex. RNAcentral describes it as "eukaryotic LSU rRNA". The stretch from base 108 to 279 matches the Rfam family "5.8S ribosomal RNA". The record is from RNAcentral. Lineage: Eukaryota; Metazoa; Arthropoda; Insecta; Diptera; Simuliidae.